GGAAAGAGAGGGAUUCGAACCCC
Molecule: transfer RNA, 23 nt
Filed under: Amblystegium serpens
Lineage: Eukaryota; Viridiplantae; Streptophyta; Bryopsida; Hypnales; Amblystegiaceae
Description: partial tRNA-Ser
Source: RNAcentral